UACGUAGGUGGCAAGCGUUAUCCGGAAUUAUUGGGCGUAAAGCGCGCGUAGGCGGUUUUUUAAGUCUGAUGUGAAAGCCCACGGCUCAACCGUGGAGGGUCAUUGGAAACUGGAAAACUUGAGUGCAGAAGAGGAAAGUGGAAUUCCAUGUGUAGCGGUGAAAUGCGCAGAGAUAUGGAGGAACACCAGUGGCGAAGGCGACUUUCUGGUCUGUAACUGACGCUGAUGUGCGAAAGCGUGGGGAUCAAAC
This 250-nucleotide ribosomal RNA is filed under the name uncultured bacterium. RNAcentral describes it as "partial 16S ribosomal RNA". It matches the Rfam family "Bacterial small subunit ribosomal RNA", at positions 524 to 773 of the family's 1533-position model. The record is from RNAcentral. RNAcentral also lists the same sequence under 2 other names.